Molecule: ribosomal RNA, 526 nt
Filed under: uncultured bacterium
Lineage: Bacteria
Description: bacterial SSU rRNA
Rfam family: Bacterial small subunit ribosomal RNA
Source: RNAcentral
UCCAUGCCGCGUGAGUGAAGAAGGCCUUCGGGUUGUAAAGCUCUUUCAGCUGGAAAGAAAACGCUUGGGAUAAUACCCCAGGCGGAUGACGGUACCAGCAGAAGAAGCACCGGCUAACUACGUGCCAGCAGCCGCGGUAAUACGUAGGGUGCGAGCGUUAAUCGGAAUUACUGGGCGUAAAGCGUGCGCAGGCGGUUAUGUAAGACAGAUGUGAAAUCCCCGGGCUCAACCUGGGAACUGCGUUUGUGACUGCAUAACUAGAGUACGGCAGAGGGAGGUGGAAUUCCACGUGUAGCAGUGAAAUGCGUAGAGAUGUGGAGGAACACCGAUGGCGAAGGCAGCCUCCUGGGCCAGUACUGACGCUCAUGCACGAAAGCGUGGGGAGCAAACAGGAUUAGAUACCCUGGUAGUCCACGCCCUAAACGAUGUCAACUAGUUGUUCGGUGAGGAGACUCAUUGAGUAACGCAGCUAACGCGUGAAGUUGACCGCCUGGGGAGUACGGUCGCAAGAUUAAAACUCAAAGGA